UUAUAUUAUUUUUAUAUUAUAUUAUUAUAUCAUAUUUAAAAUUAUCUAUCAUCAACUAUUUACAAAUUUUUAAAAAGGUAAAAUUAUUAAUAUAUACAUUUUAUACAUAAUUACCCUAUCACAAAUCAACUGAUGAGAUGGAUCAUCAAACACCCGGUGAGUCACAUCAAGAACGGUGGCCGUGGAUUGUAGAACCAAACCAAUUAUGAGGAUAGGCCGCACCUGCAGUAAAAGAGGAGGGGCUCCGCCGCAGCUCGUGGCUGCACAAGAUUCCUUCGUAUACGCACACCAUAUUGUAUGACGGUGGGCUCGUACAUAGGCAAUCCUAUUCUCCACAACCACAAUCGAACCUUCGUUUCGUCAUUUCUACGUCCUCUUCUACCAUUUUUUUUAAUAAUAAUCAUUUGUAUUUAGUAUAUGUACUAGUAUAGGAAAAUUAUACCUGUAUUUUGAGGAAAAAAAAGCUG
This 467-nucleotide long non-coding RNA is filed under the name Durio zibethinus. RNAcentral's name for it is "long non-coding RNA (DZIB_LNC001721)". The record is from RNAcentral. Lineage: Eukaryota; Viridiplantae; Streptophyta; Magnoliopsida; Malvales; Malvaceae.